GACGAACGCUGGCGGCGUGCCUAAUACAUGCAAGUUGAGCGCAGAGGGGUGGUACUUGUACCACCUGCAUGAGCAGCGAACGGGUGAGUAACGCGUGGGUAAUCUGCCUUUGAGCGGGGGACAACAUUUGGAAACGAAUGCUAAUACCGCAUAAUAACUUUAAACACAAGGUUUAAGAUUGAAAGAUGCAAUUGCAGCACUCAAUGAUGAUACCGCGUCGCAUUAGCUAGUUGGUUAGGGAAAGGCUUACCAAGGGAACGAUGCGUAACCGACCUGAGAGGGUGAUCGGCCACACUGGAACUGAGCCACGGUCCAGACUCCUACGGGAGGCAGCAGUAGGGAAUCUUCAGCAAUGGGCGAAAUCCUGACGGAGCAACGCCGCGUGAGUGAUGAAGGUCUUCGGAUCGUAAACCUCUGUUAUUAGGGAAGAACAAAUGUGUAAGUAACUAUGCACGUCUUGACGGUACCUAAUCAGAAAGCCACGGCUAACUACGUG
This 496-nucleotide ribosomal RNA is filed under the name uncultured bacterium. RNAcentral's name for it is "partial 16S ribosomal RNA". It matches the Rfam family "Bacterial small subunit ribosomal RNA", at positions 28 to 507 of the family's 1533-position model. The record is from RNAcentral.